RNAcentral lists this ribosomal RNA (573 nucleotides) under uncultured bacterium. Its description in RNAcentral is "partial 16S ribosomal RNA". It matches the Rfam family "Bacterial small subunit ribosomal RNA", at positions 355 to 919 of the family's 1533-position model. The record is from RNAcentral.
UGGGGAAUUUUGGACAAUGGGCGAAAGCCUGAUCCAGCAAUGCCGCGUGUGUGAAGAAGGCCUUCGGGUUGUAAAGCACUUUUGUCCGGAAAGAAAUCCUUGGCUCUAAUACAGUCGGGGGAUGACGGUACCGGAAGAAUAAGCACCGGCUAACUACGUGCCAGCAGCCGCGGUAAUACGUAGGGUGCAAGCGUUAAUCGGAAUUACUGGGCGUAAAGCGUGCGCAGGCGGUUUGCUAAGACCGAUGUGAAAUCCCCGGGCUCAACCUGGGAACUGCAUUGGUGACUGGCAGGCUAGAGUAUGGCAGAGGGGGGUAGAAUUCCACGUGUAGCAGUGAAAUGCGUAGAGAUGUGGAGGAAUACCGAUGGCGAAGGCAGCCCCCCUGGGCCAAUACUGACGCUCAUGCACGAAAGCGUGGGGGAGCAAACAGGAUUAGAUACCCUGGUAGUCCACGCCCUAAACGAUGUCAACUAGUUGUUGGGGAUUCAUUUCCUUAGUAACGUAGCUAACGCGUGAAGUUGACCGCCUGGGGAGUACGGUCGCAAGAUUAAAACUCAAAUGAAUUGACGGGGU